This 829-nucleotide ribosomal RNA is filed under the name uncultured Alphaproteobacteria bacterium. RNAcentral describes it as "bacterial SSU rRNA". The stretch from base 4 to 485 matches the Rfam family "Bacterial small subunit ribosomal RNA", at positions 9 to 546 of the family's 1533-position model. The record is from RNAcentral. Lineage: Bacteria; Pseudomonadati; Pseudomonadota; Alphaproteobacteria.
CUAGAGUUUGAUCCUGGCUCAGAGCGAACACUGGCGGCAGGCCUAACACAUUCAAGUCGAACGGCCCUUCGGAGCAGUGGCGGACGGGUGAGUAACACGUGGGAACGUACCUUUUGGUUCGGAAUAACGCAGGGAAACUUGCGCUAAUACCGGAUGAGCCCUACGGGGGAAAGAUUUCUCGCCGAAAGAGCGGCCCGCGUUAGAUUAGCUAGUUGGUGGGGUAAAGGCCCNCCAAGGCGACGAUCUAUAGCUGGUUUUUUAGGAUGAUCAGCACACUGGGACUGAGACACGGCCCAUAUUCCUACCCCCGGCACCUCGGGGGAAGCGUGCGCAUUGGGCGGUAGCCUGAAGCAGACGUGCAGCGUGAUUGAUGACUGUCUUCUGAUCGGCGAUUGCUGGUGGUCGCUCCCUACACGGCACCGUGAGUGGGGCGGGGGGCUAUUACUUUCCGCAACUCGCUGGUGGAAAGGUCCCUAUUUUUUUCCCGGAUCCUAGGGGUCGCGUCUCGUCGUGGGCCGGCAGCAAAGCGAGUGCCCCACCGCCGGUGAUCGGUCUGUAUAUUCCACCCCUUCUUGCCCAAGUCGCAUGUACACCAUGCACGGAAUAAGCAUGAUGUCCACCCCCCGCGGAUAGGGACCGGCGGAGGGAGUAUUGUUGUUCCCCGCUUGGUUGAGUGGUUGCUGUUUGUUGUGUGGCCUCGUAGAGCGUUAGGGGGGGUGGGGGCGAAUGUCGCUGUGGACUAUUUGAUGUUUGGUGUGUGGUAGCGGCUCAGACAAAUGUAGGAGGGGACCGCGCACAGCCGUGUUGGCGGGUGUAGAGCGCGCCCGCG